UUUCCACCCCAGUUCUCAAGGCUCUAACUGAUUUAAGCAUCGGAAGGUCAAAAAUCGAAGGAUCCCCAUCCGAUUUUUUGACUGAUUUUGUAGAUUAGAGAAAUUCUCAUCAGGUCGCAAGGAUCACUCCAUCUCAACCUCGCUCUUGUUGAUCCACUCUAUUCCAAAUUCUGAGCCUUGAAGUAAUAGGGCAUAAGUUAUGCAUG
This 206-nucleotide long non-coding RNA is filed under the name Elaeis guineensis (African oil palm). RNAcentral describes it as "long non-coding RNA (EGUI_LNC067523)". Lineage: Eukaryota; Viridiplantae; Streptophyta; Magnoliopsida; Arecales; Arecaceae. The record is from RNAcentral.